AACGAACGCUGGCGGCAUGCCUAACACAUGCAAGUCGAACGAGACCUUCGGGUCUAGUGGCGCACGGGUGCGUAACGCGUGGGAACCUGCCCUUAGGUUCGGAAUAACUCCCCGAAAGGGGUGCUAAUACCGGAUAAUGUCUUCGGAGCAAAGAUUUAUUGCCUUUGGAUGGGCCCGCGUUGGAUUAGCUAGUUGGGAGGGUAAAAGCGUACCAAGGCGACGAUCCAUAGCUGGUCUGAGAGGAUGAUCAGCCACACUGGGACGGAGACCAGGCCCAGACUCCUGCGGGAGGCGGCAGUGGGGAAUAUUGGACAAGGGGCGAAAGCCUGAACCAGCGAUGCCGCGUGAGUGAUGAAGGGCUUAGGGUGGUAAAGCUCUUUUACCCGAGAUGAUAAUGACAGUACCGGUAGAAUAAGCCCCGGCAACCUCCUU
Molecule: ribosomal RNA, 432 nt
Filed under: uncultured bacterium
Lineage: Bacteria
Description: partial 16S ribosomal RNA
Rfam family: Bacterial small subunit ribosomal RNA
Source: RNAcentral